AACGAACGCUGGCGGCAUGCCUAACACAUGCAAGUCGAACGAGACCUUCGGGUCUUGUGGCGCACGUGUGCGUAACGAGUGGGAACCUGCCCUUAGGUUCGGAAUAACUCCCCGAAAGGGGUGCUAAUACCGGAUAAUGUCUUCGGACCAAAGAUUUAUCGCCUUUGGAUGGGCCCGCGUUGGAUUAGCUAGUUGGUAGGGUAAAAGCCUACCAAGGCGACGAUCCAUAGCUGGUCUGAGAGGAUGAUCAGCCACACUGGGACUGAGACACGGCCCAGACUCGUACGGAAGGCAGCAGUGGGGAAUAUUGGACAAUGGGCGAAAGCCUGAUCCAGCAAUGCCGCGUGAGUGAUGAAGGCCUUAGGGUUGUAAAGCUCUUUUACCCGGGAUGAUAAUGACAGUACCGGGAGAAUAAGCACCGGCUAACUCCGUG
RNAcentral lists this ribosomal RNA (433 nucleotides) under uncultured bacterium. Its description in RNAcentral is "partial 16S ribosomal RNA". It matches the Rfam family "Bacterial small subunit ribosomal RNA", at positions 29 to 507 of the family's 1533-position model. The record is from RNAcentral.